AGAGCCACCACCAGGGUAGGCGAGAUGGCCGCCUCCAUGUCCUUCGUCUCCAAGUUUCUCCACAGCAAAGGGCUCACGAACGGGCAACAGCUGCAGACCUUCAGCCACAGCCUGCAGGAACUGCUGACAGAACAUUAUAAACAUCACUGAUUCCCAGAAAAGCCAUACAAAAGAUCAAGUUAUCUUUGUAUUCGCAUCAACCAUGAAAUGGAUCCCCUGGACAGGCAGCACAGUGGAUUGGACCGAGCAGUCAGGAGCUGUUCAAGCUUUUCCCAAGUGAACUCACACUCUGGGUUGGACUCACGCUCACCUCAACCUAUGAGAUGUCUGUCCUGCAGAAUUGGAGAAGAUGGCUCCAUCUGUGUGCUGUAUGAAAGCCCCACCAGCAGGGGGUAGCACUCAAAACAGCACCGACAUACAAAUGGUAGACAGCUGAAUAAACUGUAAGGACGAAUUUCUCUUGGGCAGAACCAGCCCUUCCAAAAACUACAGUAUGAUGACUGUAUCA
Molecule: long non-coding RNA, 508 nt
Filed under: Homo sapiens (human)
Lineage: Eukaryota; Metazoa; Chordata; Mammalia; Primates; Hominidae
Description: non-protein coding lnc-KLRG1-5:1
Source: RNAcentral